AGUGAACGCUGGCGGUAGGCCUAACACAUGCAAGUCGAACGGCAGCACAGUAAGAGCUUGCUCUUACGGGUGGCGAGUGGCGGACGGGUGAGGAAUACAUCGGAAUCUACUUUUUCGUGGGGGAUAACGUAGGGAAACUUACGCUAAUACCGCAUACGACCUACGGGUGAAAGCAGGGGAUCUUCGGACCUUGCGCGAUUGAAUGAGCCGAUGUCGGAUUAGCUAGUUGGCGGGGUAAAGGCCCACCAAGGCGACGAUCCGUAGCUGGUCUGAGAGGAUGAUCAGCCACACUGGAACUGAGACACGGUCCAGACUCCUACGGGAGGCAGCAGUGGGGAAUAUUGGACAAUGGGCGCAAGCCUGAUCCAGCCAUACCGCGUGUGUGAAGAAGGCCUUCGGGUUGUAAAGCACUUUUGUUGGGAAAGAAAAGCAGCAGGUUAAUACCCCGCUGUUCUGACGGUACCCAAAGAAUAAGCACCGGCUAACUUCGUG
This 492-nucleotide ribosomal RNA is filed under the name uncultured bacterium. RNAcentral's name for it is "partial 16S ribosomal RNA". It matches the Rfam family "Bacterial small subunit ribosomal RNA", at positions 29 to 507 of the family's 1533-position model. The record is from RNAcentral.